RNAcentral lists this ribosomal RNA (801 nucleotides) under uncultured bacterium. RNAcentral describes it as "bacterial SSU rRNA". It matches the Rfam family "Bacterial small subunit ribosomal RNA", at positions 74 to 864 of the family's 1533-position model. The record is from RNAcentral.
GUCUCUUCGGGGAUGAUUAAACCGGCGCACGGGUGAGUAACACGUGAGUGACCUGCCUUUUAGACUGGAACAACUUACCGAAAGGUGAGCUAAUGCCGGAUGAGUUAUAUAAGUGCAUGUUUAUAUAGGAAAAGUUGGGGAGACCUGACGCUGAAAGAUGGACUCGCGUCCCAUUAGCUAGUUGGUAGGGUAAUGGCCUACCAAGGCGACGAUGGGUAGCCGGCCUGAGAGGGUGGCCGGCCACACUGGGACUGAGACACGGCCCAGACUCCUACGGGAGGCAGCAGUGGGGAAUUUUGCGCAAUGCUCGUAAGAGUGACGCAGCGACGCCGCGUGAAUGACGAAGGCCUUCGGGUCGUAAAGUUCUUUCGACAGGGAAGAAAAUGCCUAUAAGUAACUGUGUAUGUAUUGACGGUACCUGUAUAAGCAGCCCCGGCUAACUCCGUGCCAGCAGCCGCGGUAAUACGGAGGGGGCGAGCGUUGUUCGGAGUGACUGGGCGUAAAGAGCACGUAGGCGGUGUUGUAAGUCAUUAGUCAAAGACUAGAGCUCAACUUUAGUAAGGCUAGUGAUACUAUAAUACUAGAGUAUCAGAGAGGAUUGCAGAAUUCCUGGUGUAGCGGUGAAAUGCGUAGAUAUCAGGAGGAAUACCGUUAGCGAAGGCGGCAAUCUGGCUGGAAACUGACGCUGAGGUGCGAAAGCGUGGGUAGCAAACAGGAUUAGAUACCCUGGUAGUCCACGCUGUAAACGAUGGAUGCUAGGUGUUGGGCUUUUAAGUUCAGUGCCGCAGCAAACGCGAUAAG